UACGGAGGGUGCAAGCGUUAUCCGGAUUCACUGGGUUUAAAGGGUGCGUAGGCGGACAGGUAAGUCAGUGGUGAAAUCUCCAAGCUUAACUUGGAACUGCCGUUGAUACUAUCAUUCUUGAAUAUCGUGGAGGUAAGCGGAAUAUGUCAUGUAGCGGUGAAAUGCUUAGAUAUGACAUAGAACACCGAUUGCGAAGGCAGCUUGCUACACGAUCAUUGACACUGAGGCACGAAAGCGUGGGGAUCAAACAGG
This 252-nucleotide ribosomal RNA is filed under the name uncultured bacterium. RNAcentral's name for it is "partial 16S ribosomal RNA". It matches the Rfam family "Bacterial small subunit ribosomal RNA", at positions 524 to 776 of the family's 1533-position model. The record is from RNAcentral.